Acinonyx jubatus (cheetah) is the source of this 1711-nucleotide long non-coding RNA. RefSeq lists it as uncharacterized. NCBI's taxonomy places the organism in Eukaryota, Metazoa, Chordata, Mammalia, Carnivora, Felidae. The record is from RefSeq and is a predicted model, not a curated record. The transcript has 3 exons.
GAAUCGUCCCGACAUAGGGGAUUACCUAGGAAAAAUGAUUGUAACAAAUGUUACGUUUACAUAAACAAAACGGAAAGACUACAUUUUGAAAGUCUGCAUACAAAUCUGCUCAGAAUCUAGCAUUUUCCAAAUCACUGUUCAAACAGCUUGAGAUAGUGACAAUAUCUAUACACCUGAGUUCUGUGGGAAAAGACACAGCAAAAGUUCACAGAACAUUUUAUUUGGCCGGGGGCUUUGUGAAAUAAGAUACUUAAUAGGACAAUUAUGAUCUAGAAAAAACAACUUGCUGGAAGUCAGGUCCCCUCCCCCUCCCCUUUUCCUAACAUUCCAUGGAUGAUCCCGACGGCAGGACCCAGACCACACCAGGUCCCUUGCCCACACUGAUGGAGGCCGGGACACUCACCGGCCGCUUGUAGAGGGGCACCAGGGGUGACUCCACCACGCUCCCCGUCCACCGGCUGCGUCCGCGGCAUCACAACCCCCACCCUCUUCCGCUCGGGAGCGUCGGAGCAAGCCAAGCCGGCCGGACCCCAUCAGACCUCCCGCCAAGCUCCCCCGAGUUGUGUCACGCAUGCUAAAACCUCUCCAAGGUAGCCGGUCACCAAGAGCUGAGGCCUAAAACAAGAGAGGGCACAUCCAAGUGGUUGCGGAUUGGUUGCUCCUAAGCUGAAAUUCUCGCCUCAAGCGCGGUCUCCUCCAUGGAGCCCUUUCCGGACCCUGGGCCGUGGCACCGUACACCCGGCCCGGCCCGGGAGCUGCACGGGGCGGGCCGGCUCCUUUACAUCCCCAGGACCGAGGUCAGACGAACGCGCUCCCGCCAGCCCGGUGCCGGGGUUCUGGCAGCCCCACACGCAGGACGAGCAGCGCGGGUCGUGGCCUUAACCGACGGGCAGAGAUGAACGAAAACCGGAAGUAACCGAGGCCGGCGGGCAUCUGGCAUCACGGCAGACGCAGCGGGCAGGGCGGCUGGGAUGAGCAGCGCCCGUCACACCCAAGAACACCCCCCAGAUGUGCACGGUGUGGCCGCAGCCGCCCGUCAAAGCCGUGGGUUUUGUGCAGAGAACGUGGAAGGCCCUCCGCUCGCACCCUGAUCUUCCGGGCCGCGGCGGAUUCCCUUCCUCAGCGGUUACUUAUUCAGUGUCUGCUCCACACGACGGUUGUGGGUGGACUCCAGCUAGAAAGACGCACGACGGCCCAUCCGUGAGGCGCUUCUAGCACAGCCGGGAAGAAGUCAGAUACCCGUGGAAGGAGUAGUAGAGGAGAAACGUGCCCCUCUGGCUGUUCAGAAUCACAGUCUCCUUCCACGACUGGAAGAUCCUCUCCACCUGGCGAACAUCCGGCCUCACCCAGACUGCAGCGAGCGGCAAGGGUGUACGGCGAAACCCGGUCACUCAGUAGCCCCGCCUCAGACUCCAAGUUGGAGCCAGGGCCAAGAAGCCGCAAUCAGGCGGCGUUCGCUCCGCCAGCGGGCAGCGGGCAGCGGCCACGCGCAGGCGCAGACGAGGCGCUGGCGGUGUUGCCAGUACCACCUGUGUCCAGGGGGUGGCGCCAGAGGUCUCGCGGAAACACUUCAGGCGGGACUUUGGACGUUGUCCGUGACCAGGCCUUGCCAAGUCCGGUUCUUCAACCCUACCAGCGAUCCGGAGAACCACGCAGUAUCGUUUGAUAAAUCUUAGUUUAGCAAUUAAUAAAUUAAUCAUCUCUGCUUAGA